UGGGGAAUAUUGCACAAUGGAGGGAACUCUGAUGCAGCGACGCCGCGUGAACGAAGAAGGCUUUCGAGUCGUAAAGUUCUUUUAUAUGGGAAGAUAAUGACGGUACCAUAAGAAAAAGCCCCGGCUAACUACGUGCCAGCAGCCGCGGUAAUACGUAGGGGGCUAGCGUUGUCCGGAAUCACUGGGCGUAAAGGGUUCGCAGGCGGAAAUGCAAGUCAGGUGUAAAAGGCAGUAGCUUAACUACUGUAAGCAUUUGAACCUGCAUAUCAUCAGAAGAGUAGAGGUAAGUGGAAUUUUUAGUGUAGCGGUGAAAUGCGUAGAUAUUAAAAAGAAUACCGGUGGCGAAGGCGGCUUACUGGGCUCAUUCUGACGCUGAGGAACGAAAGCGUGGGUAGCAAACAGG
RNAcentral lists this ribosomal RNA (403 nucleotides) under bacterium. Its description in RNAcentral is "partial 16S ribosomal RNA". It matches the Rfam family "Bacterial small subunit ribosomal RNA", at positions 355 to 776 of the family's 1533-position model. The record is from RNAcentral.